Molecule: ribosomal RNA, 253 nt
Filed under: uncultured bacterium
Lineage: Bacteria
Description: partial 16S ribosomal RNA
Rfam family: Bacterial small subunit ribosomal RNA
Source: RNAcentral
UACGUAGGGGGCUAGCGUUGUCCGGAAUCAUUGGGCGUAAAGAGCGUGUAGGCGGUCCGGUAAGUCCGCUGUGAAAGUCGGGGGCUCAACCCUCGAAUGCCGGUGGAUACUGUCGGGCUAGAGUGCGGAAGAGGCGAGUGGAAUUCCUGGUGUAGCGGUGAAAUGCGCAGAUAUCAGGAAGAACACCAAUGGCGAAAGCAGCUCUCUGGGACGGUACUGACGCUGAGACGCGAAAGCGUGGGGAGCGAACAGG